UGGAAAGGAAAAAAAAAAGUAACAAGGUCUCCGUAGGUGAACCUGCGGGAGGGAUCAUUACACAACAAAAAUAUGAGGGUGUGGUUUGCUGGCAACAGCGUCCGCCCCAAGUAUUUUUCACCCAUGUCUUUUGCGCACUUUUUGUUUCCUGGGCGAGUUCGCUCGCCACCAGGACCCAACCAUAAACCUUUUUUUUAUGCAGUUGCAAUCAGCGUCAGUAUAAUAAUUCAAUUUAUUAAAACUUUCAACAACGGAUCUCUUGGUUCUGGCAUCGAUGAAGAACGCAGCGAAAUGCGAUACGUAGUGUGAAUUGCAGAAUUCAGUGAAUCAUCGAAUCUUUGAACGCACAUUGCGCCCUUUGGUAUUCCAAAGGGCAUGCCUGUUCGAGCGUCAUUUGUACCCUCAAGCUUUGCUUGGUGUUGGGCGUCUUUUUGUCUCUCCCCUUGCUUGGGAGGAGACUCGCCUUAAAACGAUUGGCAGCCGACCUACUGGUUUUCGGAGCGCAGCACAAAUUUGCGCCUUCCAAUCCACGGGGCGGCAUCCAGCAAGCCUUUGUUUUCUAUAACAAAUCCACAUUUGACCUCGGAUCAGGUAGGGAACCCCG
Molecule: ribosomal RNA, 604 nt
Filed under: Exserohilum rostratum
Lineage: Eukaryota; Fungi; Ascomycota; Dothideomycetes; Pleosporales; Pleosporaceae
Description: eukaryotic LSU rRNA
Rfam family: 5.8S ribosomal RNA (bases 240-393)
Source: RNAcentral